Molecule: long non-coding RNA, 1024 nt
Organism: Musa acuminata AAA Group (dessert banana)
Lineage: Eukaryota; Viridiplantae; Streptophyta; Magnoliopsida; Zingiberales; Musaceae
Exons: 2
Source: RefSeq, a predicted model, not a curated record
UCUGCUCCCACACCACACAGCCGCCGCCAUUGUCAAAGUUACAGACACGGUCAACCGCAUCGAGACACAACUCAUACUUAUCGCAAUUGAAUUAACCGGACUGAUCCAGAAGAUGAAUUGGGUGAUGAAUGUUCAUUAACCUAAUCCAAGGACGACAGCACAUCCGACAGACGACCUUCAUGAUUGACUCUACGCAUUGGGCAACAGGCGCACACUAAUAUCUGACCCUUGGCAACCAGCGAGAGCCAAGCCGCAACUGGUCUUCCCCGUCUUUUAUUUUGUUUGGAUACGGCGCAGCUAAACAUCUAGCUAAUCUUCAACCGAUUCAAUACUUUUCUUACCCAUCGGAGAGUAGAUUUACUGGGCGGCGGACAGUUAAUGGGAACGAUUACUGCUACGGCACAACAACGGAGAUCUGAGGGACUCACACUGGUGCUUGCGUCGGUGGAAGAGGCCGAGCCAUUUGAGGCGGACGUCGAUGUCGUCCUUGUGGACCUUGGUCGCGUCGAUCUCCUCCAUCGACUUGGCGGCCAGCUCGCGGAUGCCGUCCUCCAGCACCAGGCUCAUGGGCUCCUUCGCCAGCUUCACCUUCUCCUGCGGGUUGAUCCCCUCCCGGUACUUCUCCUUCAGCACCCAGUAGCCGCCCUCCCUCUCCUCCACUCUCGGCUCCAACCUCUCCUCCGCCACCCCAGCCGUCGCGGCCUCAGUUGCAGGGGUGACGGCCGCCGUGACCGUCAGCCUCCGCCUCGCGGGUUCGCGCCGCGGGGAGGUCCGGGCAGGAGGAGCGAAGUGCUGCAGGGAUGUGGAGGACGCCAUUCACUACUGACUCGGUGGUUCGGACUUGUUCGGCCACACAAAAGGGCCGUGUUAUAGCUGGAAAGUGGGUUGGGAUGCGACUCUUGACUGCUUCAAAAGGCCAACUUCGCCUCCUGCACUCGAAAGUUUAAGGCGGUGCAGUAAGCGUACACCCGCGUAUCCUUGUCAUUGCUCGUUGGAUGCUAUGCAAAGCUCAUUCUAUUUAGCA